AAUUAGUUAUAACUAAAACCAAUUUCUAUCAAUUUGAAAUGAAUUAUACAAAACGUAUAUAACAACAUUUUAUGGCCUAAAAUGCUUUUAUCAAAAAAUUUUCUCCCCUUCCAUCUUUUGUUUAGCCAUAUAUCAAUUUUACUUAAUAUUAAUUAAUGUGCCCAUGUAUGCUACAUUAUUAUUAAUAUAGGAUAAACUUAAGUUGAAUCAAGGAAAAAAAAUUGAAGGAGAUGGAAACCAUAAAUUAACUUUCUAUCUAUUUACUAUUAACAUUUGCAGACAACUAUAUAAGAUAUUUUAAAUUUGUUCUAACUUUUUAAAGUCUAAGCUUAUUAUGCACUUGGCAGUGACACUAUUUAUGUUAUAUAAAUCUCUUAUAUUACGG
This 385-nucleotide unclassified non-coding RNA is filed under the name Hevea brasiliensis (rubber tree). The record is from RNAcentral. Lineage: Eukaryota; Viridiplantae; Streptophyta; Magnoliopsida; Malpighiales; Euphorbiaceae.